RNAcentral lists this ribosomal RNA (378 nucleotides) under uncultured bacterium. RNAcentral's name for it is "bacterial SSU rRNA". It matches the Rfam family "Bacterial small subunit ribosomal RNA", at positions 28 to 404 of the family's 1533-position model. The record is from RNAcentral.
GACGAACGCUGGCGGCGUGCUUAACACAUGCAAGUCGAGCGGUAAGGCCCUUUCGGGGGUACACGAGCGGCGAACGGGUGAGUAACACGUGGGUGACCUGCCCUCAGCUCUGGGGAUAAGCCUGGGAAACCGGGUCUAAUACCGGAUAUGACUCCAUGACGCAUGUUGUGGGGUGGAAAGCCUUGUGCGGCUGAGGAUGGGCCCGCGGCCUAUCAGCUUGUUGGUGGGGUGAUGGCCUACCAAGGCGACGACGGGUAGCCGGCCUGAGAGGGCGACCGGCCACACUGGGACUGAGACACGGCCCAGACUCCUACGGGAGGCAGCAGGUGGGGAAUCUUGCGCAAGUGGGCGAAAGCCUGACGCAGCGACGCCGCGUGA